GGCAGUGUGGUAUAGUGGUUAGGAGUGUUGGACUAGCAUCUGGAAGACCCAGGUUCAAAUCCUGACUAGUGCCG
Molecule: transfer RNA, 74 nt
Filed under: Sphaerodactylus townsendi
Lineage: Eukaryota; Metazoa; Chordata; Lepidosauria; Squamata; Sphaerodactylidae
Description: tRNA-Ala
Source: RNAcentral